Ictidomys tridecemlineatus (thirteen-lined ground squirrel) is the source of this 318-nucleotide unclassified non-coding RNA. Its record names the gene 7SK. It matches the Rfam family "7SK RNA". From Rfam's summary of the family: 7SK was discovered as an abundant small nuclear RNA in the mid-70s but a possible function has only recently been suggested. Two independent studies have found that 7SK RNA binds the CDK9/cyclin T complex (known as elongation factor P-TEFb). P-TEFb activates transcription by phosphorylating the C-terminal domain of RNA polymerase II. The record is from Ensembl. Lineage: Eukaryota; Metazoa; Chordata; Mammalia; Rodentia; Sciuridae.
AGAGAGAGCUCAAUUUUUCAUAUCUCUGGUUGUAUCUGUCACCCCAUUGACCACCAGUGUUGAUUCGGUUGAUCUGACUGCCUAGGAGGGUGUCUCCUUCCUCCCUCACUGCUCCAUGUGCAUCCAUCCUGAAGCUGCAAGCUUGGUGGAAGAUGACAACCUUCCCCAAUAGAGGAGGACUGUUCUUUGGUCAAGGGUAUAUAAGUAGCUGUAUUCCCCUGCUAGAAUCUCCAAACAACCCUCAAGGUUCAUAUUAUCAUUUUAAAAUAAAAAGAUUAAAUGAUUUUUUUCAAUUGUUUAAGUAGUAAAACUUUCAAU